RNAcentral lists this non-coding RNA (827 nucleotides) under Pongo abelii (Sumatran orangutan). The record is from RNAcentral. Lineage: Eukaryota; Metazoa; Chordata; Mammalia; Primates; Hominidae.
GUUGCCAUGCAGAAUGUCUAUUGAUCAGCUGGGCACAUCUGCACACAUUUACAAUAUCUGCCACCUCUUUUAACCCUCAACCCCGCCCCACAAAAUGAGUGAUGGUGCUUGUUGAUUUGCAGAUUCACGGUCUGGUGAGACAAGUUUGAGAUCUCAUAUUUUCAGCUCACCCUUGAAAACCUUUCUUGGAUUUGACUGACCUUGAUGGCUCCCUGGAAUUUCACCUACAUUUUAUGGGAACUUCAACUCUCCAGAGAGAAGAGCUUUCAGAUAGCUACAGGACUUGCAACUAUGACUUUUAGCUUUCACUUUUGAAUGAGGCUCCAAAUGUCUCAAUGGUGGCGCUAUUUCCAGAUUUGGGAGCCCUGCAAAGCUAAUCUGCUCAACCUUCACCUACUGGGUUCAAUGAAUAUGAAAAGCUGCCUUCCUGAAACUCUUCCUUCAAAGAGGAAAUGAUCUCCUGGAAUUCAAGCUUCUACAAGGUGGCUACCUGGUGUUUUCCACUUUUGCCUUCUCCUAAAAAGCAUCAAUCAAGCCUUGCCCUUUCAACCCACUGAACACAUAAACAUGCUUUCUCCUUAACUGAACUUAUGGUCAUGAUGAACUUGAACUCUGAGAUGCACAGAGGAGAGUUUGUUUUAACAGCUGCUUUUACAAUGAAGCCCUGGAGUUACUACUCUCAAGACCCCUGGUUCUGAUAGGCCGUCUUUUCACUGUCCUCUGCAUUUUCUAAUGCCCAGCUGUCAAGGAACACCCACUGAAGUUUUCCAAAAUAAAGGCACAAAACACAAGAAAGAAAACUGUGUGCAGGCCCAAGGAGAACAACU